RNAcentral lists this ribosomal RNA (700 nucleotides) under uncultured Planctomycetota bacterium. RNAcentral describes it as "bacterial SSU rRNA". It matches the Rfam family "Bacterial small subunit ribosomal RNA", at positions 78 to 789 of the family's 1533-position model. Lineage: Bacteria; Pseudomonadati; Planctomycetota. The record is from RNAcentral.
CUUCGGUAGGCGGACAGCGGCGAAAGGGACAGUAAUGUGUAGGCACCUACCCUUGGGUCCGGGAUAGCUGCGGGAAACCGCAGGUAAUACCGGAUGACAUCUCCGGAUCAAAGGUGUGAUUCCGCCCGAAGAGGGGCCUACAUCCUAUUAGCUUGUUGGUGAGGUAACGGCUCACCAAGGCGACGAUGGGUAACGGGUGUGAGAGCAUGACCCGUGUCAUUGGGACUGAGACACUGCCCAGACACCUACGGGUGGCUGCAGUCGAGAAUCUUCGGCAAUGGGCGAAAGCCUGACCGAGCGAUGCCGCGUGCGGGAUGAAGGCCCUCGGGUUGUAAACCGCUGUCAACGAGGAGGAAGUGCAAGGGGGUUCUCCCUCUUGUUUGACCUAUUCGAGAAGGAAGUACGGGCUAAGUUCGUGCCAGCAGCCGCGGUAAGACGAACCGUACAAACGUUAUUCGGAAUUAUUGGGCUUAAAGGGUGCGUAGGCUGCGCGGAAAGUUGGGUGUGAAAGCCCUCGGCUCAACCGAGGAAUUGCGCCCAAAACUACCGUGCUCGAGGGAGACAGAGGUGAGCGGAACUCAAGGUGGAGCGGUGAAAUGCGUUGAUAUCUUGAGGAACACCGGUGGCGAAAGCGGCUCACUGGGUCUCUUCUGACGCUGAGGCACGAAAGCCAAGGUAGCAAACGGGAUUAGAUACCCCG